GGCCGCGGGAAUUCGAUUCAGGCCUACACAUGCAAGUCGAACGCCCCGCAAGGGGAGUGGCAGACGGGUGAGUAACGCGUGGGAAUCUACCCAAUUCUACGGAACAACAGUUGGAAACGACUGCUAAUACCGUAUACGCCCUACGGGGGAAAGAUUUAUCGGAAUUGGAUGAGCCCGCGUAAGAUUAGCUAGUUGGUGAGGUAAUGGCUCACCAAGGCGACGAUCUUUAGCUGGUCUGAGAGGAUGAUCAGCCACACUGGGACUGAGACACGGCCCAGACUCCUACGGGAGGCAGCAGUGGGGAAUAUUGGACAAUGGGCGCAAGCCUGAUCCAGCCAUGCCGCGUGAGUAAAGGAGGCCUUAGGGUUGUAAAGCUCUUUCAGUGGGGAAGAUAAUGACGUACCCACA
This 408-nucleotide ribosomal RNA is filed under the name uncultured bacterium. RNAcentral describes it as "partial 16S ribosomal RNA". It matches the Rfam family "Bacterial small subunit ribosomal RNA", at positions 39 to 483 of the family's 1533-position model. The record is from RNAcentral.